Molecule: ribosomal RNA, 384 nt
Filed under: uncultured bacterium
Lineage: Bacteria
Description: bacterial SSU rRNA
Rfam family: Bacterial small subunit ribosomal RNA
Source: RNAcentral
GACGAACGCUGGCGGCGUGCCUAAAACAUGCAAGUCGAACGAGGUAGCAAUACCUAGUGGCGAACGGGUGCGUAACACGUGACCAACCUGCCCUCGUGUGGGGGAUAGCCGGGCUAACGCCCGGGUAAUACCGCAUACGGUCCCUGAGAGGAGUCUCUUGGGGAAGAAAGCUCCGGCGCACGGGGAGGGGGUCGCGGCCUAUCAGCUAGUUGGCGAGGUAAUAGCUCACCAAGGCGACGACGGGUAGCUGGUCUGAGAGGAUGGCCAGCCACAUUGGGACUGAGAGACGGCCCAGACUCCUACGGGAGGCAGCAGUGGGGAAUCUUGCGCAAUGGCCGAAAGGCUGACGCAGCGACGCCGCGUGUGGGAGGACGCCUUUCGGGU